This 399-nucleotide ribosomal RNA is filed under the name uncultured bacterium. RNAcentral describes it as "bacterial SSU rRNA". It matches the Rfam family "Bacterial small subunit ribosomal RNA", at positions 64 to 507 of the family's 1533-position model. The record is from RNAcentral.
GAGCGGGUGUAGCAAUACACCAGCGGCAGACGGGUGAGUAACGCGUGGGAACGUACCUUUUGGUUCGGAACAACCCAGGGAAACUUGGGCUAAUACCGGAUAAGCCCUUACGGGGAAAGAUUUAUCGCCGAAAGAUCGGCCCGCGUCUGAUUAGCUAGUUGGUGAGGUAACGGCUCACCAAGGCGACGAUCAGUAGCUGGUCUGAGAGGAUGAUCAGCCACAUUGGGACUGAGACACGGCCCAAACUCCUACGGGAGGCAGCAGUGGGGAAUAUUGGACAAUGGGCGCAAGCCUGAUCCAGCCAUGCCGCGUGAGUGAUGAAGGCCCUAGGGUUGUAAAGCUCUUUUGUGCGGGAAGAUAAUGACGGUACCGCAAGAAUAAGCCCCGGCUAACUUCGUG